CAGGAUUUUAUACAUGUAAAGAAU
RNAcentral lists this microRNA (24 nucleotides) under Oryza sativa (Asian cultivated rice). Its description in RNAcentral is "osa-miR2878-3p". The record is from miRBase by way of RNAcentral. RNAcentral also lists the same sequence under 1 other name. Lineage: Eukaryota; Viridiplantae; Streptophyta; Magnoliopsida; Poales; Poaceae.